Molecule: ribosomal RNA, 113 nt
Filed under: Paenibacillus larvae
Lineage: Bacteria; Bacillati; Bacillota; Bacilli; Caryophanales; Paenibacillaceae
Source: RNAcentral
UUUGGUGACGAUAGCGGAAGGGAACCAUUGGCAUCAUCCCGAACAGGCCGUUAAGCCUUCCAGCGCCGAUGGUACUUGGACCGAAGGGUCCUGGAAGUAGGACGUUGCCAAGC